GCCGGGGUCGCCUAGCCCGGGAGGGCGCAAGCCUGGAAAGCUUGUGACCCGUAAGGGUCCCGAGGGUUCAAAUCCCUCUCCCGGCGCCA
RNAcentral lists this transfer RNA (89 nucleotides) under Nitrososphaera viennensis EN76. RNAcentral's name for it is "tRNA-Ser (GGA) (tRNA-Ser-GGA-1-1)". It matches the Rfam family "tRNA". From Rfam's summary of the family: Transfer RNA (tRNA) molecules are approximately 80 nucleotides in length. Lineage: Archaea; Thermoproteati; Nitrososphaerota; Nitrososphaeria; Nitrososphaerales; Nitrososphaeraceae. RNAcentral also lists the same sequence under 3 other names. The record is from RNAcentral.